RNAcentral lists this unclassified non-coding RNA (5013 nucleotides) under Hevea brasiliensis (rubber tree). Lineage: Eukaryota; Viridiplantae; Streptophyta; Magnoliopsida; Malpighiales; Euphorbiaceae. The record is from RNAcentral.
GCCAGCACCAGAACACGUCUCAUUUUCUUCAGUUGUACUGCUGCUGAUGCCUUACGUUAUAAGGCAUGUUGUGGCCUUAACUAACUUCAUUCUCGAAACGAAUCCAUUGCGUUUCUUCAAAUAUCCACUGAUUCUAAUCCAUCUUGUACCAGCUAAUACAACUUAUCUGAUUCGCUAAUAACAACGCUCAUUAGUUCAUGGAAGCUCCACCGAUCCAAAUUUAGGGCUUUUAUUUUAUUGGAGGAUUUUUUUAUCAAUGGCUUCGUGGCUUAAAGCCGCAGAAGAUUUAUUUGAAGUUGUAGAUCGAAGGGCAAAGUUGGUUGUCAGUGAAUUGGCAGAUGAGCAUUCUGAUUCUCAGUCACCAGAAGCUUCUAAUGGGCAAGGAUCUCAACCCAAGAGGGUGAAGUCUAAGACCAAGGCUCAAAAGAAGCUAUCCACAAGUGAAUCCUAUCAAGCCAGUAACACUAAAGAGGACUUAACUAGUACAGAAACUUCAAAAUUAGAUGUAUUAUCUGAUAAAGAUAGGGCUACUCUUUUUGUUGAAAAUGUUGUUACCCCCUCUAGCAAGUCGAUGCCCCAAACAAUCACUGAACAGCAGCAGAAUACUGACAAAGAUAUCUCUAGCAGUACAUCAUCAGAGAGAGUAGCAAAUGAAGUUGUCAAAGAUGAUGCUAAUCGUGUAGAAUUUGCUGUAACUGCUGCUGAUGCAGAUGCUGCAACAUCAACUUCAAAUGGUGAGCUUCUCAAUGAGAAGGCUUCUGAUGAUCCUGUAGAACAUCCUCUUUCCCCAUUAGCUGCCAAAGAAAUAGAGGUUCUUAAUGAAGACCAUCAAGACCAUCCAAUUGAUGCUGACAUCAAGCGAAGGGAUGCUGUUGUUCCUUCAAAUAUUGACCAAGAGAGAUCUCUGUCAGCAAUUACUGAUCCUACUGUCAAUGGCGAAACUUCAGUAAAAAAUGCUGAUCUUAGGGCUGAACCUCUGGUUGAUCAACAGAACCAGCACCAGUUGCAGCAGCAGCGUAAAGCUGAUACUUCAAUCAUGAAAAUACAGGACCAACUUGAUGAGGCUCAAGGACUGCUUAAGACUGCAAUUUCCACUGGCCAGUCAAAAGAGGCAAGGUUGGCACGGGUUUGUGCAGGACUUUCAACCCGCCUUCAAGAAUACAAAUCUGAAAAUGCUCAGCUGGAGGAACUUCUCAUUGCAGAGGCGAGAUGACAAACCUUUGUUCUGCUAUUGAUCCUUACGUACUUGCUGAGAUUUUUCAAAAUUAUGCAUAUUUGCGCCUGAUGUAAUGCUAUUGAAGGGGUUGUCUUUAACAUGGGGAUAUACUACUUUAACAGAGGGAGCUGAGUAGAUCAUAUGAGGCUCGUAUAAAGCAGCUACAGCAAAAUUUGUCUACAUCUAAAAGUGAAAUGACAAGAGUAGAGUCAAAUAUGGCUGAGGCUUUGGCUGCAAAAAAUUCUGAAAUUGAGGCCCUUGUUAACUCUAUGGACACACUCAAGAAACAGGCUACUUUGUCUGAAGGAAAUCUGGCUUCAAUGCAGGUUCCCUCCACUUUCUAUGUUCAGGAUAAUGAUUCAUUCUUUUUCUCCCCAGCCUUGGGCAAUGAUCUUGUCCCACCUGUUGUAAAAUGACUUUAUUGAGCCAAACCAUCAAUUUUCCACACCCAUUGGAGAAGGUUUAAAUAGAAAUUUAAACUGUGUUAAUGUGGAAGAGAAUAAGCUUUAAUCUAUCUCUCAAGCCAUUCUGCUAUCUCGUGUAAGAUAUAACCUGAUGUGGAAAAUAGACUUCUACUUCUGUGCUAUUGUUUCUUCUGUCCUCUUUCUUUCUAAAAAUAUGAUAGUUAUAUAGAUAACAGCAAACAUAUCAGGUAACAUUUUUCUGAUUCUUUUAGUUUUUAUGUGCUCCGUUGAUAUUUCAUCUUAUUUAAAUAUUAGUCUUCCUUCUGGUAAUUGCUUUUUUCUUUUUUUUACCUUGAUUGUAUUAGUUUUAAUCCAAGGCUUUGUAAUACUUUGGUUACUUUCAGGCAAACAUGGAGUCUAUUAUGAGAAACAGAGAACUCACAGAGACAAGGAUGAUGCAGGCAGUUAGGGAGGAGCUGGCCUCCACAGAACGAAGAGCAGAAGAAGAACGUGCAGCACAUAAUGCUACCAAAAUGGCAGCAAUGGAAAGGGAAGUGGAAUUGGAACAUAGAGCUGUUGAGGCGUCCACAGCCCUUGCUAGGGUCCAGAGAAUUGCUGAUGAGAGAACAACAAAGGCAGCAGAACUUGAGCAGAAAGUGGCACUGCUUGAGGUUGAGUGUGCAUCAUUAAAUCAAGAGCUGCAAGAUAUGGAAGCCCGUGCUCGUCGCAGUCAAAAGAAGUCCCCAGAAGAGGCAAAUCAAGUGAUUCAGAUCCAGGCUUGGCAGGAAGAAGUGGAGCGUGCACGUCAAGGUCAGAGAGAUGCUGAGAGCAAGCUUUCUUCUAUGGAGGCAAGGGUUUUUUGCUCUUUGCUAUAAGUAUUAUCAUUUGUCAUCUCCAUUGCCAAAAAGAAAAUGCUGUCAGAUCGUAUCUAAUUUCAUAUAGAUUUUGAUGGAUGAGCUUGUUAUCCUAAUUAUCAUAAAUUAAAUGGUGCUUUUGACAAUUUAUUUGUAUUCUAUGAUCUAUUUAUUUGAUUACAGGCCGAAGUGCAAAAAAUGAGGGUUGAAAUGUCUGCCAUGAAGAGGGAUGCUGAGCACUAUUCACGUCAGGUAACCUGUGCACAUGCUUAGAUUAGGGCAUCCAACCUUUUUUAUUUUUCGAUUGACAGUUGUGUGAAUAUGAUUUAAGCACAACCUUAAAAGCUAAUGGCCAUCUGACAUGGGUAGAAUUACCAAAUAUUCUGUCAUGUCACAUAGCUUCUACUAACAUUCCAGUACAAUUAUAUUUUUAUUUUGGAUUUAGCAUUGAGUGUUUGUGAUAGUGUUGCUUGAAAUCAUACUCACUAACUUCCCGUCCAACUUUGAUGUUAAAAUGCAUGUGGCUCUAUGAAGCUAAAUGGUCCUACAAGUUUUGUUGAGGGCUUGAGGCUAAUGGUUCACAUAAGAGGCAGAGAUAAGACAUCUCUUUACAGAUCUUCUGUGUUCUGAGAAAUUGUUCUCUGUAGUUAAAAGAAGAUUGAAAUGAAAGAAACUUUAUGGUUUGGAAAUUUUUUAAUCUGAAGAAUAUGUUGCUUUGGAUAUGGUACCAAGAAACGUGGCAGAUGAUAGUUGUAUUAUGGAACAUGAGUGUUCAUGCAACCCUCUGUGGGCUUGCUUCAUAAGUCCAAGAAAACAUUGUACGCCAUUUUUUUAUUGUAAAUAAAUGCAUAAUAUUGUUCCACGUAGGAUAUACUCCUGCAUCUCAUUUGUCAUAACUGCCCCUUUUACAGGAGCACAUGGAGCUGGAGAAGCGCUACCGUGAAUUAACUGAUUUGUUGUACUACAAGCAAACACAGUUAGAAGCCAUGGCUAGUGAAAAAGCUGCUGCAGAGUUUCAGUUGGAGAAGGAGGUGAAGCGUCUUCAAGAAGCACAGGUCUCUCUCCUUAAGUAUUUAAUGCUGCUUGAUAAAUAGUUGUGACUUGUACUCCUGGUUUCAUCCUUCGUGUGCCACGUAACCAAUAGAUCUUCAUUUUGCAUAUGCUAUCAUUGUUAUCAAACAGGUUGAAGCAGAAAGGGGUAGAGUUUCCCGUCAUGCAUCCUCGUCUUGGGACGAAGAUUCUGAAAUGAAGUCACUUGAGUAUGCUGUUUCAAUUCCAACCAAGUAGAUAUAUUCACAUGCUUUUGAUGCUUUUGCUUUUCAUAAAGUACAUUGAUAUAAGUUGUGUUAGUUUUAUGGUUUUCACUUUAGCUUCUUGUUGGCAAUAAAUAUUUAUUUAAAUCUACUAAAAAUUUCUUAUAAGGUAAUAAUUGCAGGCCUCUUCCCUUGCAUCACCGUCAUAUGGCAGCAGCAACCAUGCAGUUGCAGAAGGCAGCAAAGCUAUUGGAUUCAGGGGCUGCCAGAGCCACAAGAUUUUUAUGGCGGUACCCAACAGCUCGGCUCAUCCUUCUUUUCUAUUUGGUAAGAAGAGCCAUCUUGUAUUGUUAAGCGUCUACUUAAAAAUAUGGAUCGCAUACAUGUAGAUGCAUUAAAUUGUAUGAUGACCAUGAGAAAUCAAAUGCAGGUGUUUGUACACCUCUUCUUGAUGUAUUUAUUGCAUCGCCUUCAGGUAUGGAUAUUUGGACAUGGUUCACAAUUGAUUUUAUGUUCUCAAUGCGACAAUCUGCCCCGAGUAGAAAAUUGUGUUGCUUUAUUUAAAUGGGAGUUUCUUUUUUUUCCAAACUGUGAAUUGAUUACACUUGGUACUGCAUUGAUUUUUUUUUUAAUUGUUAAAAUUUUAUUUUGCAAUGUGAAGGAACAAGCGGAUAAUAUUUCUGCUAGAGAAGUUGCAGAGUCUAUGGGUCUUGCCAACCCAACUUUACCAUGAUUGAGGAAGUUGCUCCUAAUCAAAAAGCAAAUGCCACAUUUUUGCCUGCAAAGGUUUCUCUAUCAUUCUUAAAGCAAACUAUGGCUUGUGAAUAUCCAGGAAAUAACAUAAUCAAAAGGAAAGUGAAAACCGUCUUCAAUGUUUGCUUUUUAUACAAAUCGUUUGAGGAAACAGUGGAAAAAGUAGCAUAUUACUUGAUGUCAAGACAAAUUCAAAUGUGCAUGCAAAUAUUCUGUCAUUUCCAUAGUCAGUUUGGUGUGGCUCAGGGACAUUAAAAUGAUGUUACAGUGAGAGCUACCAUGCUGUAUAUCCAGACGUUUCUUCAUGAAAUGGAAUAUUCUUUUAUUUGUAAUGGGCGACUUCCAUCACUGAGAUUGAGCAACAAGUUAUGAAUCGUGAGAAGUUUGUACAUCACAAUAAUGGUUUUCUUGUGUUGCAUUCUUGUUCUUGUCCUUUAAAGAAAUUUCAAUGAUGACAAUAGCAAUGAUCACUAUUUUUUUUUUUUUUGGAUCAAAUAACAAUGAUCACUUUGAUUAAACUUAUUUGAUAUAGG